UACAGAGGUCCCAAGCGUUGUUCGGAUUCAUUGGGCGUAAAGGGUGCGUAGGCGGUGGGGUAAGUUGGAUGUGAAAUCUUGGGGCUUAACCUCAAAAUUGCAUUCAAUACUGCUCCGCUCGAGUUCUGUAGAGGAGAUUGGAAUUUACGGUGUAGCAGUGAAAUGCGCAGAUAUCAGGAGGAACACCCGUGGCGAAAGCGGCUCUCUGGGACGGUACUGACGCUGAGACGCGAAAGCGUGGGGAGCAAACAGG
RNAcentral lists this ribosomal RNA (253 nucleotides) under uncultured bacterium. RNAcentral's name for it is "partial 16S ribosomal RNA". It matches the Rfam family "Bacterial small subunit ribosomal RNA", at positions 524 to 776 of the family's 1533-position model. The record is from RNAcentral.